UCUACUAGUUGUCGGGUUUUAAUUAACUUGGUAACGCAGCUAACGCGUGAAGUAGACCGCCUGGGGAGUACGGUCGCAAGAUUAAAACUCAAAGGAAUUGACGGGGACCCGCACAAGCGGUGGAUGAUGUGGAUUAAUUCGAUGCAACGCGAAAAACCUUACCUACCCUUGACAUGUACGGAAGACCGAAGAGAUUUGGUUGUGCUCGAAAGAGAAUCGUAACACAGGUGCUGCAUGGCUGUCGUCAGCUCGUGUCGUGAGAUGUUGGGUUAAGUCCCGCAACGAGCGCAACCCUUGUCAUUAGUUGCUACGAAAGGGCACUCUAAUGAGACUGCCGGUGACAAACCGGAGGAAGGUGGGGAUGACGUCAAGUCCUCAUGGCCCUUAUGGGUAGGGCUUCACACGUCAUACAAUGGUACAUACAGAGCGCCGCCAACCCGCGAGGGGGAGCUAAUCGCAGAAAGUGUAUCGUAGUCCGGAUCGCAGUCUGCAACUCGACUGCGUGAAGUUGGAAUCGCUAGUAAUCGCGGAUCAGCAUGUCGCGGUGAAUACGUUCCCGGGUCUUGUACACACCGCCCGUCACACCAUGGGAGCGGGUUUUACCAGAAGUAGGUAGCUUAACCGCAAGGAGGGCGCUUACCACGGUAGGA
Molecule: ribosomal RNA, 650 nt
Filed under: uncultured Oxalobacteraceae bacterium
Lineage: Bacteria; Pseudomonadati; Pseudomonadota; Betaproteobacteria; Burkholderiales; Oxalobacteraceae
Description: bacterial SSU rRNA
Rfam family: Bacterial small subunit ribosomal RNA
Source: RNAcentral